RNAcentral lists this ribosomal RNA (253 nucleotides) under uncultured bacterium. Its description in RNAcentral is "partial 16S ribosomal RNA". It matches the Rfam family "Bacterial small subunit ribosomal RNA", at positions 524 to 776 of the family's 1533-position model. The record is from RNAcentral.
UACGGGGGGAGCAAGCGUUGUUCGGAUUUACUGGGCGUAAAGGGCGCGUAGGCGGCGCAACAAGUCACUUGUGAAAUCUCCGGGCUUAACCCGGAGCGGCCAAGUGAUACUGUCGUGCUAGAGUGCGGAAGGGGCUACUGGAAUUCUCGGUGUAGCGGUGAAAUGCGUGGAUAUCGAGAGGAACACCUGCGGCGAAGGCGGGUAGCUGGGCCGACACUGACGCUGAGGCGCGAAAGCCAGGGGAGCGAACGGG